Molecule: unclassified non-coding RNA, 3825 nt
Filed under: Neodiprion pinetum (white pine sawfly)
Lineage: Eukaryota; Metazoa; Arthropoda; Insecta; Hymenoptera; Diprionidae
Description: tachykinin-like peptides receptor 99D, transcript variant X4
Source: RNAcentral
CGGGCGUCCCGUCCACGCGUCCUCCGUAAUAAACCUUUCCUUCGGCUCACCUUUGCUUCUGUAGCUUUGUACCGGCGCCUCAAAGUUAAGGAAAACAGAUUGGAAAAGUCAGACUCAAGUCAUCCCAUUACGAUGGAUGACGCAUGGAGACUAACGAUGGUACUCAAGGAUCGACACUGAACAAUCUGCAGCAUAUAAUCCCGAAGACACGUGAUACGUGAAUAAUGGCCCGAUCAAUCAAUAGCCAAAAUCAAUAAAAAAAAAAAAGAACAAACAAUCUCUAAUCGGGAAAUUUUUUAAAUUGCGAAUUAUUUUUGGACCAUUGGUAUGCUGAUUCAUGCGAGUUUAGAAGUAAGGAUUACGAGAUCUGAUAUCCCUAUUUAUAACAGCAAAAAUAGUAACGAUCUAAUUAAUUUUAACAACUAAUCAAAACGUAAGAAAGAGGCUACGAAAAAUUUCUACCAGUUGAGGGCAACGGACUGACGUCAAAAUAUGAAGGAUAAUUUAUCCCAGUGAAAUACAUUCGAGAAAUAUGAUAAACAUAGUGGAGCGAGCGGGCAAGUGUUUUAAUAAUUUAAAAGUUAAAAAUAGUCGAGUUGCCGGAAUGGUGAAAGGUAUACAAAUGGAACGUACGUGAGACUUAAAAAAGCUCGGAACGCGUUUACUCUAAUUGCAAGAGUGUACUAAACAGUUCAUCGCGUUUCAGUACGUAAAUUAAUUUUUCUUUUCCCCGUGUGCUUAACGAAAAUAUAAAAAGUAAUAAAAAGAUAGAAAAAAAACAAACACUAAACCACAUUGCUUAUCGAAGUUAAAGAAGAUUAACGUCUGUGUUAUACACACGGUACCCGGAUCCGAAGUUCAUCGCUGAGAAGAAAAACCAAUUUUCUUCUUGCAAUGGACUGGAUUGGCCGCGGAGAAAGUGGAAAGCAUAAGUCGCUUGAAGAUUCAAAUUUCGAUUUAACACUGAAUUGUAAAUUUUACCUACUCAACGAAACUGAAGCGAGGUUUGCUGUGGUUUAAAAAAAUCACACCUCGCCAAUAUCCGAUAUUGCAGGCCAUUUCUAUGGUGAAUAACCUAUAAAUGUGAUAUGGAGCGGCGGUUUCGUACGGUGGUAGUGAAACGAGCGUGUGUAUAGUUAGCGGUGCGAGAGUGUCAGCGAGAGGGAGAAAGCCUCGGCCAGUCAAGAUCCUCGACCCGUGAAACGGAAGCAGCUUCAACACCGAUGGGUUUAAAGUGACGUUCACUCCGCGCGGCCGUUUCUGUAUUUCGGAUUGACCCCAGCAGUGAAUUAAGUUGAACCAACGUGCCAAAUUUGUGAAAUCGUGAUACCUGAGUACACCGGCAAUGCACAAGUCACAGUUAAAUUCGCGAUGAAGAAAAAUUAAUGGUGUGCAGAAAGAUUGGACGAAUCCCAUGUUCCGGGCUGAAUAAAUUCAAUACCGUAACAUUGAUUUAUUGAUCAGACGUGUCACUGUCCUCUUAGAAGACGAGAAUCAACGCUGGUGACAAAAAGUACCAGUUGACGUUAACAUAGAAAAUUCAAUUCAUUCUGGGGAACAUAGAAAAUAGAAAAGAAAAAUGAUGAAACAGGAAAACAAACAGAUAAAAUAUUUGAAUUAUAAAUAUGAUGGUGAUUGGGAGAGACGGUGAUAAGUUUGACGACAUCAAUCAAAGAAACGAUUAAGGGUGCAAAAAUAUUCUUUCAUUAAUAUGUGAAUAGAAAAUGUAAUUGGGGGGAUUUCCCCCAAACGUAAGAGCUUCUAUUUUAUUUCAAUUUGUUGGAAGAUUUGUUUCUCUUCAAAUAUUUGCUGCCAAUCGAAAAAGCCACGGUUGAGAAAAUUGUUCCGGCUAUUCGUGACAGCUUGCAUGAAUAAACUGCCAAGUCGGAUGAAUGUAAAUAUCGUUAAUCAUAUUUUUACAGUUUAUCGAUGUCGUUGUAAAUAAUUAAUCCUAGUGAAUUUCGAGAGAUUACUAACUAAAUUUGAGGCAUUCAUAUUAUAACUCGAUCAGGUUAACUCUUGAAAAAAAAUUACCCUUACUGACAUUUGCGUGCAUGUCUAAUUUCGCAUGAUAAAUAAAACAAAGGAAUUGUUUAAAGAAAAGGUAAAUAAAUCAGGAACAACAUGCGUAAACAAAGUUCUGGGGGAAUUGAAUCGAACGUGGAAAGCGUACGGGAUGAAAACUCUAUAUCGGGCAAACAGCGAGUGGGAGUAUACCUAGAAUAAAACAAUUGCCCGUGGGGUUCUAUCUCGAUUCUCCAUUUGCGGAGUGAAAAUUGAAACAACUUCCGAAUCGUCCUGUAAAAUAAAUCGUUCGAAAUGCUUUCGCUCGAGGAAAUGAUGUACUCGACUUCGUGGCCGUUGAAUUACAGUUCCACACUGUUCGACAACCUGACCUACAACAACACCAACGUCACCGAUCCAAGUUCCGGUGGUAAUCAGUUUAUCCUGCCCUGGUGGCGACAAAUGAUCUGGACCGUUCUCUUCGCCGGCAUGAUAGUCGUCGCUACCGGUGGCAAUCUAAUCGUCAUAUGGAUCGUUCUGGCCCACAAAAGAAUGCGCACCGUCACCAACUACUUCCUGGUCAACCUGAGCAUCGCGGACGCCAUGGUCUCAACCCUGAACGUGAUAUUCAACUACACCUACAUGCUCAACAGUCACUGGCCUUUCGGAAACUUGUACUGCAAGAUCAGCCAGUUCAUUGCUGUUCUGACCAUUUGCGCCAGCGUGUUCACGCUAAUGGCCAUUUCCAUAGAUCGGUAUAUGGCGAUAAUGAAUCCCUUGAGACCGCGAAUGGGACGACGAGCCACCUUGUGCAUUGCGGUCGCCAUAUGGAUGGUCGGCGCUAUUUUGUCCCUUCCGAUGCUCCUGUUCUACACUACCUUCACGCAGAACUUCGACAACGGCGAGGUCCGAGUAAUUUGCUACAGCGAUUGGCCGAACAGAAGUGACGACGGCCUCAGCUACGGGGAAUAUCUAUACAACGUGAUAUUCAUGAUACUCACGUACUUCCUUCCGAUUGGAUCAAUGACGUUUACGUACGCCAGAGUUGGUCUUGAAUUAUGGGGUUCCCAGAGCAUAGGAGAAGCAACCCAGCGCCAGUUGGAUAACAUUCGCAGCAAGCGAAGAGUGGUCAAAAUGAUGAUCGUGGUCGUGGUGAUAUUCGCCGUCUGUUGGCUGCCUUUCCACGUUUAUUUCAUAGUGACUUCCUAUUUACCGGACAUCACAAACGAGCCCUACAUUCAGGAGGUCUUUUUAGCGAUCUACUGGCUAGCCAUGUCGAACAGCAUGUACAACCCCAUUAUAUAUUGCUGGAUGAAUUCGCGAUUUCGCCGAGGUUUCGCCCAGUUUUUCUCAUGGUGCCCGUGGGUGCGAAUCACCCCCGAGCCGAACCUGUCGCGAUCUGAAGCAGUGACGUCACGCUACAGCUGUACCGGAAGUCCGGAUGGUAAUGCAAGAAUUUCACGGAACGGUACGUCUUCAACGUGCGAGCGACUUUGCACUUCGUCGAGUACUCCAAGCGAGUCCCGUCUCGAUUUCAACCUUGAAUUCAACUUCGAUGUCGCAAAUGAAAACGCGGCGGAAGAAGCCGCCCUUCGCCUUCGCAAUCCAAUUCCCAAUCAGUUCACAGUCACCUAGAUUUCGUUUUUCUGUUCGUCGAUUUUGGAUUUUCUUAUUGUUUCACACAGGUACAGUGCGAAUUCCCCUCCAUCUACAGUCGAGCCGAUGCAUUGCCGGUGGAAACGGUGCCGGAACGAGAUUUCCCGUUCAUCAUCGGGGUCACGGAAAGAGGUGGAGAACCUCGCAGAGCCGAGGACACGUAUC